This 253-nucleotide ribosomal RNA is filed under the name uncultured bacterium. RNAcentral describes it as "partial 16S ribosomal RNA". It matches the Rfam family "Bacterial small subunit ribosomal RNA", at positions 524 to 776 of the family's 1533-position model. The record is from RNAcentral.
UACGUAGGGACCAAGCGUUGUUCGGAUUUACUGGGCGUAAAGGGCACGUAGGCGGCUUGACAAGUCACUUGUGAAAUCUCCGGGCUUAACUCGGAACGGCCAAGUGAAACUGUCAUGCUAGAGUGCAGAAGGGGCAAUCGGAAUUCUUGGUGUAGCGGUGAAAUGCGUAGAUAUCAAGAGGAACACCUGAGGUGAAGACGGGUUGCUGGGCUGACACUGACGCUGAGGCGCGAAAGCCAGGGGAGCAAACGGG